GGGGCUAUAGCUCAGUAGUAGGGCACUUGCCUAUCAAGCAAAAGGCCCAGGGUUUGAUCCCUACCACUG
RNAcentral lists this transfer RNA (69 nucleotides) under Heterocephalus glaber (naked mole-rat). It matches the Rfam family "tRNA". Rfam says of the family: Transfer RNA (tRNA) molecules are approximately 80 nucleotides in length. Their secondary structure includes four short double-helical elements and three loops (D, anti-codon, and T loops). Further hydrogen bonds mediate the characteristic L-shaped molecular structure. tRNAs have two regions of fundamental functional importance: the anti-codon, which is responsible for specific mRNA codon recognition, and the 3' end, to which the tRNAs corresponding amino acid is attached (by aminoacyl-tRNA synthetases). tRNAs cope with the degeneracy of the genetic code in two manners: having more than one tRNA (with a specific anti-codon) for a particular amino acid; and 'wobble' base-pairing, i.e. permitting non-standard base-pairing at the 3rd anti-codon position. Lineage: Eukaryota; Metazoa; Chordata; Mammalia; Rodentia; Bathyergidae. The record is from Rfam by way of RNAcentral.